CCAAUAGCGUAUAUUAAAGUUGUUGCAGUUAAAAAGCUCGUAGUUGAAUUUCGGGGUUAGUAGGCUGGUCGUGCCACUGGUAUGUACUGGUCUUACUGACUUCUCCUUUCUGAAGAACUGUAAUGCCAUUAAUUUGGUGUUGCAGGGAAUCAGGACUGUUACUUUGAAAAAAUUAGAGUGUUUAAAGCAGGCUUACGCUUGAAUACAUUAGCAUGGAAUAAUGAAAUAGGACGUUCGAUCCUAUUUUGUUGGUUUCUAGGAUUGACGUAAUGAUUAAUAGGGAUAGUUGGGGGCAUUAGUAUUCAAUUGUCAGAGGUGAAAUUCUUGGAUUUAUUGAAGACUAACUACUGCGAAAGCAUUUGCCAAGGAUGUUUUCAUUAAUCAAGAACGAAAGUUAGGGGAUCGAAGACGAUCAGAUACCGUCGUAGUCUUAACCAUAAACUAUGCCGACUAGGGAUCGGAUGAUGUUAAUUUUUUAAUGACUCAUUCGGCGCCUUACG
This 500-nucleotide unclassified non-coding RNA is filed under the name uncultured Glomus. Its description in RNAcentral is "SSU rRNA". It matches the Rfam family "Eukaryotic small subunit ribosomal RNA", at positions 591 to 1092 of the family's 1831-position model. Lineage: Eukaryota; Fungi; Glomeromycota; Glomeromycetes; Glomerales; Glomeraceae. The record is from RNAcentral.